Molecule: non-coding RNA, 70 nt
Organism: Podarcis lilfordi (Lilford's wall lizard)
Lineage: Eukaryota; Metazoa; Chordata; Lepidosauria; Squamata; Lacertidae
Source: the annotation of a GenBank genome assembly
GGGUAGCUCAGUUGGUUAGAAUGUGGUGCUGAUAGUGCCAAGGCUGCAGGUUCGAUUCCCGUAUGAGACA